UCAUGGUGGUCAAAUGGUUCCACAAGUUGAGAUCCAUUUCGCUCAAAGGAAAGCCUCACUUCGCCAACUUCAAUUUGGUUAUGCCUGCCUUGGAUCGAAUAUGGCUGUUGCCUGUCCGUGGCUAGAGGAGAUCAAUCAGGCUCAAGAGGAUGGUCAUAAGGGACGAGAGCUUGGAGCUAAUUUCUAAAAAGUUCAAUCACUUCCAAGUCUCGGCGUUAUCCUCGUGAUUGCAGCCAGGUUUAGGCUCUUGAAUUGAAUGAUCAUGGAUUCCCUCGCAUAUUUAUGUUCUAUGUGGUGACUUCUUCCUCAGUCAGUAGUAUGAUGUUUUAUCCAUUUACGUUUUGGAUUUUCUGGAGCUUUUACCAAUCUCAUUGAUAGGAUUUAAAUUUGCUUAAAUGUAUUGGAAGAUAAAAAAUGUUCCCCGCCUCCCCUCUCUAAUUCAUCAAAGGAGAUACUAUGGUUCAUCGUAUAGCAUAGAAACUAACAGAGAACCUAUUUCUAUCUGUAGGCUAAGCUCUACUAUUGGUGGAUGUUCCAAGGGAAACAAACAUAACUGAUAUUGUAAGGAAUCAAAAUGCAAGGGAGGGUCUAAAUGGGGCAAGAGCAUACUCAAGUCCAUGGGUGAAACCACAUCUUAACCAAGUUUAUGAUGUGGCAUACGGAAUAAAAUGGGAAUAGAGAUUUGAUGUUUGUGGCAUGUCUUUGAUAUUAGGAGUUUGCGAACUCACACUUCACCAAUUUAUUCUCUCUCCCUAUUUUUAGGUGGUUGCUCCUCAUUCCUUACAAGUGAUAUUAGAGUCAAGUGUUUUGUUUGGGACUUGAAAGCUUGUAUUGUGCACACGUUAAAAGUCCAAAAUGGGAUUUAUAUGUAUCACAUUGUUUGAAGCCUAAAAAAAUUAGGUUAGCCUUGAUUACACAUGAACAUAAACUUGGUGU
Prosopis cineraria is the source of this 936-nucleotide long non-coding RNA. RefSeq lists it as uncharacterized. The record is from RefSeq and is a predicted model, not a curated record. Lineage: Eukaryota; Viridiplantae; Streptophyta; Magnoliopsida; Fabales; Fabaceae. The transcript is spliced from 3 exons.